RNAcentral lists this long non-coding RNA (3352 nucleotides) under Cairina moschata (Muscovy duck). RNAcentral describes it as "domestica (muscovy Duck (domestic type)) lncRNA (ENSCMMG00000013433.1)". Lineage: Eukaryota; Metazoa; Chordata; Aves; Anseriformes; Anatidae. The record is from RNAcentral.
CCCGUCAAUCCUCGCCCAGAGGGUUAACCCCGCCUACUCCCUGCCGCCAUUGGCCAGGCUCCCCCGGCGCGGUGCUUUAAGAGGGGUAGGGCGGCAGGGGGAGCUUCUUCUUCUUCCGGUGCUGGUGGGGGGCGCGGUGUGAGCGGGGGGUGGGCAUGGGGCUGCCUGAGCCGCGAGUGCUCGGGGCCGGCUCGGGCGCUGCGGGGGGCCUGCGGGGCUGCCCCCGCCAGCCGGAGCAGCGCCCAAGAGGGGGGCGCGCCCGGCAGCAGCUCAGUUUGCGAGGAGCCUCUGGGCAGGCCCUGAGGCCUUUCCGAGGGCUUGGAGCGCAGUGCAGGAGAGUUCAGCGGCGGCCGGGCGAUAAUGAUUUAAAUCACCUGUUCAGAAGAAAUAUUAAUGGGACUUCCUUGAGACUCCUGAUGUUUUGUUGAUCUUCCUGUUAGAAGACCUAUUAUCACCUCAUUUUGAGAAGAGCAAUAGGAUUUGAUAUUCAAACUGCAGGGCUUAAAUGGUCAGCCACAAAUAAGAUUACUUCCAGGCACUCUGCAGCUGAGCAAAAACAGUAGUUAUGAGUCAGUGGUUUGAUGUGCUUAUGUAGUAUGCAAGCACACAUCUGAAAAUAUUAUUAGAGAGCUUUUUCUUUAUGUCCAAGUUAGAUACUUGUCUUCCUGACUUGUGGCAGGGGCUGGAAAUGAAGCCCCUUAUGUGUGUAAAUAGUUGAGCUCUGCUUAAGUGGUUUUAUCUUUUGAAGCUUUUUAACUGGGAUGGUUUGAGCUCCUGUUCUGCAUGCCAGGUAAAUAAUUUGAGACAUACAAUCAGGGCAGCAUCUGGCAGCAUUAACAUAUCCUAAAUUCUGAGAGCAUAAAGUAUGUUUAAAAUGUACCUACAGUUCUGGCCUGCACAGUUAAAAUCUGUGUGGCAUGCUUAAAUUGUGAAUGCUGAAGAAGCAGCUGUGAACAGUUCCUGAUUAUUUGGAAGAUGUACUAGGUUGAAGAAGUCAUGCAACAAGCAGCAGAACUGUUGAAAUACUAUGUUUUUUUUCUGGUAGAAACUCAAGUUCCAUGGGAAAUGGACACUUUAGAAUCUGAAGUGUAUCUAACUUGUCCUGGAUCUAACCAGGAGACCUAUAAGUAAGUUUGUUUCUGAACUAGACGAAUAAUUGAAUCAUACUUAUGCAUUCAUAGGAUACUCCCAAGAGGGUGUUUGUAUUAGCUUUAAAAUUUCAGUCCAUUUCGUAAUUGACAGAGGCGAAGAAUAUAUAUGAAGUUACAUAAGUCAGUUUUAAUGGAUGAUCUAUGUGAUCUGAGUGAGUUGAUUUGGAUCAAGGUAAGAAUGCCUUUAGCAGAGAGAAGUCAUGCUGGUAAUCAAAGCAAAAAUGUUUGAGCCUGGCAUUUAACAAUGAAAAAUGUUCAAGCUUAAAUGCAGACCUUGAAGCUAGAUAUAGAGUGAUACAGUCACAGAACAUCCCAAGUUGGAAGGGACCCACAUCGAUCAUCUCUUUAUGAAGAUUAUAUGUCAGUUCCUGCUAAGUCUGCUUUCGGAAUUGAGCAAUAGAAAGCUAUUCUAAUACAUGUAUCUCCUGUUCUUUGUGUUCACUUUUGACCAGUGUUGAAGAACAGGGUCCUGGGCCCUGAGCAUCAGGCUUAACUACUUAUGGUAAUCUUUACAAAUUGUGAUGUACUUAAAAUGCUGGAAGUGGCUUCUGGUCUUUCAUAAGCAUGGGAAAACCCUAGGGCAUCUUUUGCCUGUAAGGAAUUCUUGUUCUAGUCCUAGCGCGUGUUCAUGGCAUAGCUACCAUGAUAGGAGUGCUUUUGUUGGCUUGGUUUGAGAAUGUGCAGCUGCAGAGAGGCAAGGAAAGCUCGGAUGUGCGUGUAUUUACUGUCCACGAGGGGGCUCUGGCAGGUCGGGGCUGAAUGCCCAAGGUCCUCAACUGAGUUAUUUCACUAAAGUGGCAGGCUGUAGUAACUGGAUGCCUGUUGCCCCUGGGGUGAUUAAAUCUGUUCUGCUUUUCAAUUCCUAUACAAAAUCUUACUAUACAAAGUUCAAAAAAAAUACAGCAAGGUACUUUUCUGUCUCGUAAAAAAUGUUGUAUCUGUUAGAAAAACAUUUCUCAACUGCAGUGGGUAAAUGAUCUUUUCUAUGGGAGAGGACAGAUGCUACCAAAACUGUCAUCACAUGGGGAUCUCAACUGUAUGAGAAAUUUCUCCAAAUAAAAAUUCAAGUGUUUUGCACACAUCAGCACAUUUGUGUGCAACUCUGCAGUUUGCAUGGAAUUCUUAUAGAGAAUCUCAAGUAUGUUUUCCUUAGCAAUGUACACUUGGUGCUAUGGUAUUUCAAUAAAGAUUUGUUUUUUGUUACACACCCUUCAGUCUCUUUUUUCCUAGGAAUGUGUUUACAUGUUUUAACAGAUUUGAGUUCUUAUAACUUCCCUUUUGAAAAACUGCAAUCUAAUCUGUGUUGUGAGCCUAAAUCAUGUGAAUUGCUGUUGUUUAAUCUUUGCUGGACGAAUCUAUUAAAUUCUGAGGAGUGUGGAAGCUUUUUGUUUAAACAUUUGUCUCCAGUUGUUACUGUUAACAAUGUAACUUUGUUAGAUGUAGCAUAAAUAAGCUCACUUCUGUAAUUGAGGGUAACUCUCAGCUCUGGAAAUGCUGAGGCUACUUUUCAGCUAUAUACAUUUGUGGCAGUGCAGAAGGGACAUUGCAGGAAUGAAGAAAGUGAGACUUAACUGAGAAACUAAAAUGAACCAAUAUGAUCAAUGGCAUUAUAAAAAAUCUAGUUCCACUAUUACUUAAAGAAAAAAAAUCUCCCUCACUUGUGUACAUCUCCAUGUGGAUUUGAAUUUUUGUCAGUUUGAAUUAUUUUGACAAAUUUCUUGUGGGUGUUGAACAAUUCUUUGUUCUACUAAAGAACCUAAACUUGGAUGAGGUAAGUGAUAAAUACAGUGAUUCUCAGAAGACAGCUGUGGUGCGGAACUUGAGGGCUUGAGACUUUCCUGAGAACUCUAUGAAAGAAGUGUGCCUGGAAACUUGCCCAUGUUUGCCUGCAAUGUGGUGUUCUGGGAAUGUUCCUUGUAUAUGUGCAAACUAAACCAAGCGUUUUCCCAUUGUGGUAUUGUCCGUGGGUUUUGAAUUUGUUGUGGACUGGGCUAGGGUCUGCUUCCAUAAACCCCCGUAGAGGGUUUAUGGUGGUACUGCUGGAGCAGUGCAGGAUAAAAUCAGGAGUAGAACGGCUUUAGGUUAAAAAAAAAAAAAAAAAGGCUCUUCCAUGAACAAGCUAGAGGGGAGUAGGACAGAAAGGGCUAAAUAUGAGUGGCACACUGUUUAGCAGCUUCCUUGGACAUAGCUAUGGAAUUAUA